GAUGAACGCUAGCGGCAGGCCUAACACAUGCAAGUCGAGGGGUAGAGGAAGCUUGCUUCCUUGAGACCGGCGCACGGGUGCGUAACGCGUAUGCAAUCUGCCUUGUACUGAGGGAUAGCCCAGAGAAAUUUGGAUUAAUACCUCAUAGUAUUAUGAAGUCGCAUGGUUUUAUAAUUAAAGUUCCAACGGUACAAGAUGAGCAUGCGUCCCAUUAGUUAGUUGGUAAGGUAACGGCUUACCAAGACAAUGAUGGGUAGGGGUCCUGAGAGGGAGAUCCCCCACACUGGUACUGAGACACGGACCAGACUCCUACGGGAGGCAGCAGUGAGGAAUAUUGGUCAAUGGGCGCAAGCCUGAACCAGCCAUGCCGCGUGCAGGAUGACGGUCCUAUGGAUUGUAAACUGCUUUUAUACAGGAAGAAACACUCCCUCGUGAGGGAACUUGACGGUACUGUAAGAAUAAGGAUCGGCUAACUCCGUGCCAGCAGCCGCCGUAAUAC
This 499-nucleotide ribosomal RNA is filed under the name uncultured bacterium. Its description in RNAcentral is "bacterial SSU rRNA". It matches the Rfam family "Bacterial small subunit ribosomal RNA", at positions 28 to 526 of the family's 1533-position model. The record is from RNAcentral.